RNAcentral lists this unclassified non-coding RNA (363 nucleotides) under uncultured bacterium. Its description in RNAcentral is "contains 16S-23S intergenic spacer region". The record is from RNAcentral.
UCCCGGUUGGCCCGGGCAGUCUCGUCUGAAAAAUACAACAGACGACAAGGGUUUCGCUCGUUAAUGGACUUAACCAAACAUCUCACGACACGAGCUGAGGACGGCCAUGCAACACCUGUCACUGGGUUCCCGAAGGCACUCCGCCAUUUCUGGCAGAUUCCCAGGAUGUCAAGCCCCGGUAAGGUUCUUCGCGUGUCAUCGAAUUAAACCACAUACUCCACUGCUUGUGCGACUCCCCGUCAAUUCCUUUGAGUUUUAAGCUUGCGCUCGUACUCCCCAGGCGGCAGGCUUAACGCGUUAGCUUCUCAGCCCAAGGGGUCGAUCCCCGAACUAAUAGCCUGCAUCGUUUACGGCGUGGACUAC